Molecule: unclassified non-coding RNA, 208 nt
Filed under: Hevea brasiliensis (rubber tree)
Lineage: Eukaryota; Viridiplantae; Streptophyta; Magnoliopsida; Malpighiales; Euphorbiaceae
Source: RNAcentral
CUGGGAACCACUGCAGUUCCAUUUAAUGUUCAAGUGCAGUCAAAUAUGUUUGCUGCUGUAGGGAGUGGGGGUGUAAUUGCUCAGCCUGUGCAGGAGUCUGUUUCUGAUGCUGAGAAUAUGGCAUAUCAACACCAAUCCCAACUGUGGCAGGGUCAACCCUGUGCUACUGAGUGUGCCUCUCCAAACAAUACAUUGAAUGGACAAGAGG